Molecule: unclassified non-coding RNA, 335 nt
Filed under: Hevea brasiliensis (rubber tree)
Lineage: Eukaryota; Viridiplantae; Streptophyta; Magnoliopsida; Malpighiales; Euphorbiaceae
Source: RNAcentral
UAGGAAAUCCUGGAUUUAGUAGUAACACAAAUGGAGUUGGUGGUUCCAUUCCUGGGAUUCUUCCAACCUCUGCUGGAAUUGGCAACCGGAGUGCUGUGCCAGGAUUGGGAGUAUCCCCAAUCUUGGGAAAUGCAGGACCUCGGAUUACAAGUUCUAUGGGAAACAUGGUUGGUGGGGGCAACAUUGGGAGGAGCAUAAGCUCAGGUGGAGGAUUAUCUGUUCCUGGUCUUGCAUCUCGGCUAAAUCUAACUGCUAAUAGUGGAUCUGGAAGUUUAAGCUUGCAAGGACAGAAUAGAUUAAUGAGUGGUGUGCUUCCACAAGGAUCUCCACAGGUA